Molecule: ribosomal RNA, 374 nt
Filed under: uncultured bacterium
Lineage: Bacteria
Description: bacterial SSU rRNA
Rfam family: Bacterial small subunit ribosomal RNA
Source: RNAcentral
UACGUAGGGUGCAAGCGUUAAUCGGAAUUACUGGGCGUAAAGCGUACGCAGGCGGCUAUGUAAGACAGGUGUGAAAUCCCCGGGCCUAACCUGGGAACUGCAUUUGUGACUGCAUAGCUAGAGUCCGUCAGAGGGGGGUGGAAUUCCACGUGUAGCAGUGAAAUGCGUAGAGAUGUGGAGGAACACCGAUGGCGAAGGCAGCCCCCUGGGAUGAGACUGACGCUCAUGUACGAAAGCGUGGGGAGCAAACAGGAUUAGAUACCCUGGUAGUCCACGCCCUAAACGAUGUCGACUAGUUGUCGGGGAUUUACAUCCUCGGUAACGCAGCUAACGCGUGAAGUCGACCGCCUGGGGAGUACGGUCGCAAGAUUAAA